Molecule: ribosomal RNA, 515 nt
Filed under: uncultured microorganism
Description: bacterial SSU rRNA
Rfam family: Bacterial small subunit ribosomal RNA
Source: RNAcentral
GAGUUUGAUCGUGGCUCAGAUUGAACGCUGGCGGCAGGCCUAACACAUGCAAGUCGAGCGGAUGAAGGGAGCUUGCUCCUGGAUUCAGCGGCGGACGGGUGAGUAAUGCCUAGGAAUCUGCCUGGUAGUGGGGGAUAACGUCCGGAAACGGGCGCUAAUACCGCAUACGUCCUGAGGGAGAAAGUGGGGGAUCUUCGGACCUCACGCUAUCAGAUGAGCCUAGGUCGGAUUAGCUAGUUGGUGGGGUAAAGGCCUACCAAGGCGACGAUCCGUAACUGGUCUGAGAGGAUGAUCAGUCACACUGGAACUGAGACACGGUCCAGACUCCUACGGGAGGCAGCAGUGGGGAAUAUUGGACAAUGGGCGAAAGCCUGAUCCAGCCAUGCCGCGUGUGUGAAGAAGGUCUUCGGAUUGUAAAGCACUUUAAGUUGGGAGGAAGGGCAGUAAGUUAAUACCUUGCUGUUUGACGUUACAACAGAGUAAGCACCGGCUAACUUCGUGCCAGCCGCCGCGGU